This 90-nucleotide transfer RNA is filed under the name bacterium. Its description in RNAcentral is "tRNA-Ser". It matches the Rfam family "tRNA". From Rfam's summary of the family: Transfer RNA (tRNA) molecules are approximately 80 nucleotides in length. RNAcentral also lists the same sequence under 2 other names. The record is from RNAcentral.
GGAGAGGUGCGAGAGCGGCUGAAUCGGGCUGCCUGCUAAGCAGUUGUCCUGGCAACGGGACCGUGGGUUCGAAUCCCACCCUCUCCGCCA